AAGUCGUAACAAGGUUUCCGUAGGUGAACCUGCGGAAGGAUCAUUAAUGAAGUUUGGGUUUCAAACCCUCUCUCUUCUACACACUUGUGAACUUACACUGUUGCUUUGGCAGGUUUCCGGAUGGGUUUCAAACCCGGACGGUCAGGUCGAAAGGCGCCUGCCAAAGACAUUUAUCCACCCUUUUUUAUUGUCUGAUUUUGUUUUCAAACAAAUUAUAAAAAAC
RNAcentral lists this unclassified non-coding RNA (223 nucleotides) under plant metagenome. RNAcentral's name for it is "partial contains small subunit ribosomal RNA and internal transcribed spacer 1". The stretch from base 1 to 46 matches the Rfam family "Eukaryotic small subunit ribosomal RNA", at positions 1786 to 1831 of the family's 1831-position model. The record is from RNAcentral.